GGGCCUCGAGGGCGUUAGACACCGUCUCCAGAGGGAAGCCUUGGACCUUGGAUCUCCUCCUUUGGGCUUGUUAGAGCAGAAGUUUCGUUAUGAGAAUGAUUUUACUCCCAAACAUUUCUGUAACGAGGCACCUGGUUGCUAUUUGGAGGAUGCUUCUAUGCAAAGAAGAUUGGAUUGGAUUGGAAAUAAUGGAAGAGGGAGUGAUAUCCAAUGUGACUAGAAAGAGAUACAUUGGAUCAAGGUCCAAGAUGGGAACUGCCAGCGGAUUGUGAAUGUCAUAAAGGAAGGCCAGAUUCCCCGUAACGAGAUCACCGCUGUGAUCACUUGGUGCGGCUGGCAUGGCACAGUGCCAUCAGUGUCUUAAAUAAAGCAUCUGACCAAUGAGUUGACUCUUGUCCCAUGUUGUAGAAGAUGCACCAAAGGGAGAGAGAGGUGGUAGGCUUUUCCUCAGAACACCGAGGAUUUUCUGU
Phascolarctos cinereus (koala) is the source of this 470-nucleotide long non-coding RNA. RefSeq lists it as uncharacterized. The record is from RefSeq and is a predicted model, not a curated record. Lineage: Eukaryota; Metazoa; Chordata; Mammalia; Diprotodontia; Phascolarctidae.